RNAcentral lists this transfer RNA (72 nucleotides) under Stegodyphus mimosarum. It matches the Rfam family "tRNA". From Rfam's summary of the family: Transfer RNA (tRNA) molecules are approximately 80 nucleotides in length. Their secondary structure includes four short double-helical elements and three loops (D, anti-codon, and T loops). The record is from Rfam by way of RNAcentral. Lineage: Eukaryota; Metazoa; Arthropoda; Arachnida; Araneae; Eresidae.
GCCUUCGCGGUGCAAUUGCAAGCACAUCUGGCUGGCAAUCAGGAGGUCCGGCGUUCAAUCCCAGCGAGGGCA